AUGAUGAGGUGCAAGAGGAAAAUACGGGGGAAGAGCUGAGUGGAGCGGAAGAACAGAACCUAGAGGAACUUUUGAGGGAAAGAGGAAUUAUUUUCCCGGAAAUUUCUUACUCGCCGGAAUAUUAGUGAUCAAUGAUCAACACGAUCAACGGUAAGCAAGAAAGGGAAUAAUCCUGUAUAGAGUUCAGUGGAGGAGGGGGAGGAAUGGAAGAAAAUACGCAGCAGCAGCAGCAGUCGGCGGAAAAUCAAGCCAAAGAAACCGACGACAACGAGAUAGGAGUUCGUGGGGAGGAGAGACUGGAGAGAGAAGAGGAGAAAGAAGCGCUGUUUCCGGAGAAUCAGGUUGGUGCGCCGGAACAGAU
This is a non-coding RNA of Linepithema humile (Argentine ant), 361 nucleotides long. NCBI's taxonomy places the organism in Eukaryota, Metazoa, Arthropoda, Insecta, Hymenoptera, Formicidae. The record is from RefSeq and is a predicted model, not a curated record.